Molecule: long non-coding RNA, 1466 nt
Organism: Manis javanica (Malayan pangolin)
Lineage: Eukaryota; Metazoa; Chordata; Mammalia; Pholidota; Manidae
Source: RefSeq, a predicted model, not a curated record
CGAGGCUGCUUAGACUGUCUUUGCACCCAAAGGUUGCAGUAAGUCUGGAUGUCACAUAAAACAAUAUGUGGUACCUCUAGACUUCUUUAUGUAAGAUAUCUGUUUCACAGAUCUAAAAAAACCUUGGUCUGAGGACAGAGGGAACUUCAAAUGCCCAGCUGCAGCCAUGUAACAACGGGACAUUCCUGGACAUUUCUCUGGUCUUCCAAGGAACAAAGGAAGAGUUUACUUAUUUUUAAGAAUAAAAAAAUUCAGCAUCUUGUAAUUACCAUGUAGCUGGCACCUUUGGACAAUUAAAAAAUCCAGUGCACAUUAUGGAAUAUCUAUGAUCUCAAUUUUUCUAUAUCUUGUACAUUUUCUAUUUCAUCAACUUAGGAAUUAUUUUGUUAUUACUCAUCAAGUAUUUCCAAUAAUACUAAAAAAGACUAUAGCCCUAAGAAAAUAGAAUAAUGAUGGAAUAGCCUAGAAGGAUGCUGCAAUUGUGAAAUAAAUCAUCAUCCUAUCAUCAUUCAGUUGUCUUAUUGUGCCGACUAAAAUAUUACAUCAUUCAAGAAGGUAUAAAAGAAGCCUGGAGACAAUUCUGUGGUCUACUUUUAAUUUCAUUGAACACAAUUUAGAAUUUAGAAUUUUUAUUUUCCAUCCAUAACUGUAAAGAAAAGAAAAUUGAUAGAGGAAGAUAUUUCAGUUAUUAGAUGAAUCAGAAGACAAAUUCAAAAAGAUAGAUAGCAGUACACUAUACUUUGAUGAUUAGGGUGAAAUUAAAAUUGAUUGUUCAAUUGAAAUGUCAGACUCUGACUCUUCAGACGACAAUGAAUUUCCUCAAAUUCAAGAAUUAAUAAAUGAACAAUACAUUGCAGAGGACAAAAAGGAAAUAUGGUGGUCUCAUCCAGUUAGUCCUUCAAAUAAAAGAACUUUAUCAUGCAAUAUUUUGUGGCAAGAAGUUGAACCAUCUCAAGUUUUAAAAGAGUACAUUAAAUUACUCUUACUUCUUUUAUAAAAACUUAUGAUUUCUAACUGUGCAAAAACUUAUGAUUUCUAACUGUGCAAAUGCUGAAGAAAAGUGAAGGCAGGUGUCAGAAGGAAGCUGAUAAUGCAUAAAUGAAAAAAAUCAUUGGACUUAUCAUUCUAAGUAAUGUCUAUAGAUCUAAAAAUAAAGAUGUUUUGCAAUUAUGGUAAGAGAGUACAUUGUUUGUUUAACAAAAUUAUGAGCCAUCAAAGAUUUCAAAAAUUCAACUGUUGUAUUUUGAUGAUGUAAGUUCUAAGAGAACCAGAAAUAAUAAUAUGCCAGAAUCUAUUAAAGAUGUGUUUGAAAUCUGUAAUUGGUAUCUACAAUCUGGAUACAUUGCUAUGUUAUGUAUUAUAGUUGAUGAACAGCUAGUUCCUUUCUGAAGAUGAUGUGUCCAAUUUGGAGUAUAUAUGCCUUCAAAACUAAGGAAUUGAUGAAAUAAACAUUUAGCUUUGCUGUA